UGGGGAAUUGUUCGCAAUGGGCGCAAGCCUGACGACGCAACGCCGCGUGGAGGAUGAAGACCUUCGGGUCGUAAACUCCUUUCGAUCGAGACGAAUGGCCUCCGGGUGAACAAUCCGGAGGAGUGACGGUACCGAGUGAGGAAGCCCCGGCUAACUCUGUGCCAGCAGCCGCGGUAAUACAGAGGGGGCAAGCGUUGUUCGGAAUUACUGGGCGUAAAGGGCGCGUAGGCGGCCUGUUAAGUCGAACGUGAAAUCCCUGGGCUCAACCCAGGAACUGCGUCCGAUACUGGCAGGCUUGAAUCCGGGAGAGGGAUGCGGAAUUCCAGGUGUAGCCGGUGAAAUGCGUAGAUAUCUGGAGGAACACCGGUGGCGAAGGCGGCCACCUGGUUGGAUACUGACGCUGAGACGCGAAAGCGUGGGGAGCGAAACAGGAUUAGAUACCCAGGUAGUCCCUGAGCGGGCUGGCAAGGCGCAU
This 475-nucleotide ribosomal RNA is filed under the name uncultured bacterium. Its description in RNAcentral is "bacterial SSU rRNA". It matches the Rfam family "Bacterial small subunit ribosomal RNA", at positions 355 to 825 of the family's 1533-position model. The record is from RNAcentral.